Molecule: ribosomal RNA, 253 nt
Filed under: uncultured bacterium
Lineage: Bacteria
Description: partial 16S ribosomal RNA
Rfam family: Bacterial small subunit ribosomal RNA
Source: RNAcentral
UACGGGGGGGGCAAGCGUUGUUCGGAAUUACUGGGCGUAAAGGGCUCGUAGGCGGCCAACUAAGUCAUACGUGAAAUCCCUCGGCUUAACCGGGGAACUGCGUCUGAUACUGGAUGGCUUGAGAUUGGGAGAGGGAUGCGGAAUUCCAGGUGUAGCGGUGAAAUGCGUAGAUAUCAGGAGGAACACCUGUGGUGUAGACGGCUUACUGGACCAUGACUGACGCUGAGGCACGAAAGCGUGGGGAGCAAACAGG